RNAcentral lists this ribosomal RNA (608 nucleotides) under uncultured bacterium. RNAcentral's name for it is "bacterial SSU rRNA". It matches the Rfam family "Bacterial small subunit ribosomal RNA", at positions 110 to 753 of the family's 1533-position model. The record is from RNAcentral.
GUAACAUGUGGGAAUCUGCCUUUUGGUUCGGAACAACACGGGGAAACCUGUGCUAAUACCGGAUAAGUCCUUACGGAGAAAGUUUUAAUGCCAAAAGAUGAGCCCGCAUUUGAUUAGCUAGUUGGUGAGGUAAAAGCUCACCAAGGCGAUAAUCAAUAGCUGAUUUGAGAGGAUGAUCAGCCACACUGGGACUGAGAUACGGCCCAGACUCCUACGGGAGGCAGCAGUGGGGAAUCUUGCACAAUGGGCGAAAGCCUGAUGCAGCGAUGCCGCGUGAGUGAAGAAGGCCUUUGGGUUGUAAAGCUCUUUUGUCGGGAAAGAUAAUGACUGUACCCGAAGAAUAAGGUCCGGCUAACUUCGUGCCAGCAGCCGCGGUAAUACGAAGGGACCUAGCGUAGUUCGGAAUUACUGGGCGUAAAGAGUAUGUAGGCGGCUAGAUAAGUUAAUUGUGAAAGCCCAAAGCUUAACUUUGGAAUUGCAAUUAAAACUAUUUAGCUGGAGUAUGAUAGAGGAAAGCGGAAUACAUAGUGUAGAGGUGAAAUUCGUAGAUAUUAUGUAGAACACCAGUUGCGAAGGCGGCUUUCUGGAUCAUUACUGACGCUGAGAUA